AGGCAACUUCCUCGAUACGAUUAUAUGGCGUGAGAGGUGUUAUACUACUCGUAAAUUAAAUUCUUUUGCUCUUCAGAUUUGCUGAGAUUUUUUCUCUGAAGCUGGUCUAGUAAGCUCUAGUACAUU
Non-coding RNA from Lupinus angustifolius (narrow-leaved blue lupine), 126 nucleotides. The record is from Rfam. Lineage: Eukaryota; Viridiplantae; Streptophyta; Magnoliopsida; Fabales; Fabaceae.